GAGUUUGAUCCUGGCUCAGGACGAACGCUGGCGGCGUGCCUAAUACAUGCAAGUCGAGCGAGCUUGCCUAGAUGAUUUUAGUGCUUGCACUAAAUGAAACUAGAUACAAGCGAGCGGCGGACGGGUGAGUAACACGUGGGUAACCUGCCCAAGAGACUGGGAUAACACCUGGAAACAGAUGCUAAUACCGGAUAACAACACUAGACGCAUGUCUAGAGUUUGAAAGAUGGUUCUGCUAUCACUCUUGGAUGGACCUGCGGUGCAUUAGCUAGUUGGUAAGGUAACGGCUUACCAAGGCAAUGAUGCAUAGCCGAGUUGAGAGACUGAUCGGCCGCAUUGGGACUGAGACACGGCCCAAACUCCUACGGGAGGCAGCAGUAGGGAAUCUUCCACAAUGGACGAAAGUCUGAUGGAGCAACGCCGCGUGAGUGAAGAAGGGUUUCGGCUCGUAAAGCUCUGUUGGUAGUGAAGAAAGAUAGAGGUAGUAACUGGCCUUUAUUUGACGGUAAUUACUUAGAAAGUCACGGCUAACUACGUGCCAGCAGCCGCGGUAAUACGUAGGUGGCAAGCGUUGUCCGGAUUUAUUGGGCGUAAAGCGAGUGCAGGCGGUUCAAUAAG
This 618-nucleotide ribosomal RNA is filed under the name uncultured bacterium. RNAcentral describes it as "bacterial SSU rRNA". It matches the Rfam family "Bacterial small subunit ribosomal RNA", at positions 9 to 587 of the family's 1533-position model. The record is from RNAcentral.